ACGAAGUGCCUAUAAUUCUAAUGCCAUUUUCAAGGUCUACAGCUUGCAUUGUUAAUAGGUAUUAGAGAAGUGUAAUAUAUAAUAGUACAGACACGUAAGUAAUAGGGCAGGUAUUUUAGAAGCACAGAUGAGCCACAGGAAGAUUAAUGGAAUUUGACAAUGUGACAGCAAAGCUGCUGCACAAGUACAUCCAUCUGUAAGCUUUUUGCUAUGCAUUGCCACGAAGGAAACGAUCACUGAAGGAAAAUAACACGUUCAUGAGUGUAAUUUGGUAACCAUUUGUACAACAUGAUAACGUGCCUUCUUAAUUCAAAGACAUUUGACAGAGACAUCUUGACAUUUUCAUUAAGGAAGCUGUCAGGAUUAAUCUGGAAGAGGACAAGAAUCUUAUUGGAAAGUGCCUACUUAUCCUCAGUAAUCUAAUAAUCUGCACUAGUAGGGUCAAGUCAUUUUUUAUGAUACAGCCUUUAAUCAUCUAUCAAUUACAACUUUUAAUUACAGCUGAGCUGCUGAAAUAUAUAGAGAUCUUCCCAUGAUGAAAUGAAUGUUUAUAGCCAUCUGAAUAGUGCUCUGCCAGAGAGACAGCGAUUCCCCUCCUCCAUCACUGCUCCUAUACAGACAUGGCUGUGAAAUGACGCUGAGCUCCUGACACAUAAUGCUAAAUAUCUGGUUAUGUCAUUACACAUAUGCAUGAGAAACUGAAUGAAGAUGAUGGGAAAAGUUUUAAUUGUGGUGUUUUCCAAUUUAUAACCACUCAACUUCGCCCAUUAACAUUUCUAGGUAGCUAGCUAUAUUUACAGCUGUAAAUACAUAUAGACAGAAAUAGAUAGCAUUUGUCUACAUGAAUGUGAACAUCCAUAUGGACAAGGAAAUCUUUCCAUGUCAAUGACUGGUACUAAGAGGCUCUGCUGCAAGGAGAAAGGAACACCUCAUCCAGGAGCCACAAAGGUCUGCUGAGGGCAGGGCAUUGAGCUUUACCUCCCUCAGCAGCACAGUUCAGAUCACAGAGUUCAUCACUGGUAUUGUGUGGGGUAGAUAAAUAAAGGUACACAGCAUUAAUACCCCAAAAGUCAAACUAUCAUAGCUCACUCACUACCCUGAGAAGCAGAAAUUCUCCCUUGGUUUCAUAACACAUAAUUUGCUGUGUUCCCUAAAGGCUCCUGUGUCUUGUUGCUCCUUGGUGGCCCUAUUUUUCUAUUGAUUCUGUGGCAUUUGAGGACUUCGGUGUCAAGAGCACAGCAAUAGCUUUACUGAUUCUACAGGCUUGUACUGCAAGAGGCCAGCUGCUCAUAAAGAGAACAGUGAAACAAAUCCCUGUGUACUUUACAUCAAGAGAAAACUUCAUUUUCCCCUUUCUCUAUGUAUAGGACACUUCAGUCUAAAACAAAGAUGCAUAGAAUGACCCUACAAAUAAGAUCAGAGUAAUUUAGAGGAUGAAAUUAAUCUGCCAAGCCCUGUGUGGUUGGUUGGUUUUUUUUUUCAGUCAUUUGACAUCACUGUAGUCUCUUUUCAUCCUCAAUUCUUGCUCCUCUUCGUUAUUUGCUACGAAGAGUUUUAUUUAGAGGAAGAGAUAGAUAGAGGAGUUUAUGCCUCCAUCAUUUAAUGGCGGAUUUUCAUCCUGGAGCAAAAAGGACAAGAAGGAUUCUGAUGGCAGAGCAAAGCGAGUUAAAGAUCAGAAAAUUUCCUGGAUUUGGCUGGGAGUUUAUGAACUAAUCUGCAUACUUCUGGUUUUAAUGCCAGUGACUUCUUUCCUGCUCUGCUGCCAUGGGUUUUUGUAAUUUUUGUUUUCAAAUUUGAUUAGCUGUGUGUUCGUUUUCACACUUUUGGAGACAGCAUCCCUGUGAGAUCUAAUUUAAGGAGUAUAUAUCCUCUUUGGAAAAUAAGAGAUUAUU
Molecule: long non-coding RNA, 1892 nt
Filed under: Gallus gallus (chicken)
Lineage: Eukaryota; Metazoa; Chordata; Aves; Galliformes; Phasianidae
Description: lncRNA (ENSGALG00010019762.1)
Source: RNAcentral